This 63-nucleotide transfer RNA is filed under the name Pselaphinae sp. 9 EF-2015. Its description in RNAcentral is "tRNA-Cys". The record is from RNAcentral. Lineage: Eukaryota; Metazoa; Arthropoda; Insecta; Coleoptera; Staphylinidae.
GGCUUUAUAUUCAAAAUGAUUUUAAAUUGCAAAUUUAAAGGUGGAGUUAUUCUUCUAAGGCUU